Molecule: ribosomal RNA, 362 nt
Filed under: uncultured bacterium
Lineage: Bacteria
Description: bacterial SSU rRNA
Rfam family: Bacterial small subunit ribosomal RNA
Source: RNAcentral
GACGAACGCUGGCGGCGUGCUUAACACAUGCAAGUCGAGCGGAAAGGCCCUUUCGGGGUACUCGAGCGGCGAACGGGUGAGUAACACGUGAGUAAUCUGCCCUUGGCUUUGGGAUAACUACCGGAAACGGUGGCUAAUACCGGAUACGACGUACUCAGGCAUCUGAUGUGCGUGGAAAGUUUUUUCGGCCAGGGAUGUGCUCGCGGCCUAUCAGCUUGUUGGUGGGGUAAUGGCCUACCAAGGCUUCGACGGGUAGCCGGCCUGAGAGGUGACCGGCCACACUGGGACUGAGACACGGCCCAGACUCCUACGGGAGGCAGCAGUGGGGAAUAUUGGACAAUGGGCGAAGCCUGAUCCAGCAA